This 2807-nucleotide long non-coding RNA is filed under the name Astyanax mexicanus (Mexican tetra). RNAcentral describes it as "lncRNA (ENSAMXG00005003730.1)". The record is from RNAcentral. Lineage: Eukaryota; Metazoa; Chordata; Actinopteri; Characiformes; Acestrorhamphidae.
UAAACAUUGCUUCAUUUGUAAAUUUGAAACUAAACAAAUUUUCUACUCAUAUCUUGAGUUUAAUUCAUUUUCUUUUACAUUUUAUUAAAAAACUAAUAAAAAAAGAGUAGCACUUUUUAAAAGAAAUGUAACAUAAGAAAGGUAAAGGGCAAAUAUUAACCAUGUAAAAUGUUUAUAUUGCUUGCAAUUUAGGUGAAGCCAGCAUGUGUAAAGCAUUUUAAUGUAAAAUUGCUUAAUUUUGCUGAACUAAAUACAAGCAACAAAGUAAACGAAUAACAAAAAUAUGAACACCACACAAGGGUUAAAACAAAGGAAUAUUAGAGUGUGUGACCUUUUUUUAUUUGGUGGGAUAUUUUUUUUGGCCAGGCAGCGUAUUUUUAUUUUUUAAAUGAUUCAGUGCUCUUCUAUUGUUUUAUACAAAUAAACUGUUGCCUGAUUGUGAUGUGGAUUGACAAGACAUACAGUAAAUGACAUGCAAGCCAGGCCAAAUUCUAGACCGCCAGACAUUUAUGAUGUAAAUCAGCUGCUUUACUCUUCAGUCAGUAGUCUGAUAUUGAUGGAUGGAUGUUGUCUCCACAUCACCGCAGUAAUAUGUGGUUAACCAUUAAAAAAAUGAUUAUACAGAACCUUCUUUUUUAACCCGUCCCAAGCAGUGCUAGUCAUUCUCUCCACAACCUUUUUACAACCAUAUAAGAUACUACAGAUCACUAUGAGAUAGCUGGCAAUGGAAAUAUGCUGUCAGAAGCAAAACUGCAGCUUUUCUCCAUCAGAUCAAAAGAAAUUUGCAUCUGACAGGAAAUCUUGCAGUUACUAAGUUCAGACGAAAACACAGCCGAGAGUAAACAGGAACCCCAACAUUUCACUGACGUUUCUGCGACCCGAAAAAAGCCUUCCUGUAAAGAUGUGGCGCAUCGUAUAUACCAUCAGCAUUGCCUUCACCCUCACGAAAUACUCUGCAGCUGAUGAAACUCCAGAUACUCUGCAUUUACAGAAGUAUGCGCUCCUGGGAAGUACAGUCUCCCUCUCGCUUCAGGGACACACACAGGAUCUGACUGAUAUCAAGUGGAGAAAAGGAAAAUUAUUAGUUGCAAACAGCAAAUCAGUUAGACCAAAGUUUAUUCAAAAAUUUCAUCUGAAUGCCACCGAUAGCUCCUUAAUUAUUAAAAACCUAACUAUGAAUGACAGCGACCAUUAUCGAGCUGAAGCUGGAGAAUGGGAGAAGGCAAUCUUGGACUAUCAUCUAAUAGUUGAAAGAAUGGUCUCAAAGCCAAUCAUUGAAACCAAUCGCAACCAAACAGCAGUAAAUUCCACUGAUGACUGUCAGAUCUCAGUUAAAUGUUCUGUUGAUGAUGAAUCAGUGAUGUACGUCUGUGAGAACCGGAGCUGCACUUCCUCACAAACCCAAACCCAACAGACCAAAGUUAACAUCACUGUUGCUGUAACUGAUAGUAGAACUGUGGAGUGUACAGCCAGUAAUCAUGUGAGCACAAUGAAGACCUCAUUAGCCAUCGGUGACACCUGCUCUGAAAAAAUUCCUGCGGAAAACAAAUCAAGUUUCUCUUUGUAUUUGGCAAUUCUAAUAGGCUGCGUAAUAGUGGGCAUAAUAGUGGUCUGCUUACCAGUAAUUGUCAUUUCCAGAAAAAAGCCACAGCAGAAAGAUUCUCAUCCAGAAGCAGAAAUAACCACAGUGUACAGUGUAGUGAAUAAACCACGGAUUUCAACAGAUACCAGCGCUGUAAAUGAGACAGCAUCCACAGUCUAUGAUGUUCCCUCAAAACGGGCUGUGCCUCUCCAAAGUGCCAGCGUUCAAAUGCCACAGGAGACAAGAGAACAGCCCCUGGAGGGUCAACCCGUUACUGCAAACGCUGAAACAGAAGAGGAAUCAGCGAAUGAUCCACAGCUCACAGUUUACUGGAAACUGGGGCAGAAAUAACAUCUGAUUACAGUCUGAUAUAAAGCUCCGUUCUUCAUCUGCAUCAGUGAAAACCCUUAUUUUUGUAUAGUUUUAUGCGUAUUGAAGUGUUGUACUGUUUUUUUUUUCAACAAACUUUUUAUAUAUAUCAUGUCUAUAGUUAUAUAGGUUUAAACACACAUAAAAUUGACUUUUGGUGUAGUAAAAAAUGAGAAAAAGUACUUACCUUUAAUGAAUAGCACACCUCCGUUCUCCCACAGCAUUCCGAGAUCCAGAAAUCUGAACAGUCUGUCCAAACAUCCCAAUAGAUUCUUUUUUCCAUCAUUAUCCAGCCUCAAAGUAGCUCCACACCACCUGGCUGGAAUCCGUAGAGCCCUGACAUUUAAAACGAGGCAUUAAUAACUUAAAAAGUGCACAAAAAGCUUAUUAAAAACACUGUUUACAUCCCAUAAUGCUAGCUUCAGCUCUGUGUACCGCCAUCUUUGUACUGAUAAUGACAUAGACAUAUAUACAUAGACUUCGCAUAGUCUGGCUCCUGGCGCAGGCUGCUACGCUAGAAGGCAGGAUAUGUGGAAUCUAUGUAUAUGUCUGUCAUUAUCAGAUAUACAAAGAUGGUAGCAUUAUGGGAAAGCUAGCAUUAUGGGAUGUAAAACAGUGGUUUUAAACAUAGGUGUGCUAUUCAUUAAAUGUAAGUACUUUUUUUAUCAUGUUUUACUACACCAAACCUCUAUUAUAUACCGAAGUUCUCCUUUAAAGCAACAGUCUGUAUGUUUUGGAGAUUUAAAGGAUUUGGAGACCUCUCUGGUGAGAAUGUGUAAUUACACAGAACAUGUAGAAGAGUACUUUUAAUGCAAGCUAUAAUAAAUAUAUAAAUAUAUGUAUAAAACUUUGUAAA